This 1421-nucleotide ribosomal RNA is filed under the name Sphingobium sp. HS1. RNAcentral describes it as "bacterial SSU rRNA". It matches the Rfam family "Bacterial small subunit ribosomal RNA". The record is from RNAcentral. Lineage: Bacteria; Pseudomonadati; Pseudomonadota; Alphaproteobacteria; Sphingomonadales; Sphingobiaceae.
CUGGCGGCAUGCCUAAUACAUGCAAGUCGAACGAGAUCUUCGGAUCUAGUGGCGCACGGGUGCGUAACCGUGGGAAUCUGCCCUUGGGUUCGGAAUAACGUCGGGAAACUGACGCUAAUACCGGAUGAUGACGUAAGCCAAAGAUUUAUCGCCCAGGGAUGAGCCCGCGUAGGAUUAGCUAGUUGGUGGGGUAAAGGCCUACCAAGCGACGAUCCUUAGCUGGUCUGAGAGGAUGAUCAGCCACACUGGGACUGAGACACGGCCCAGACUCCUACGGAGGCAGCAGUAGGGAAUAUUGGACAAUGGGGGCAACCCUGAUCCAGCAAUGCCGCGUGAGUGAUGAAGCCUUAGGGUUGUAAAGCUCUUUUACCCGGGAUGAUAAUGACAGUACCGGGAGAAUAAGCUCCGGCUAAUCCGUGCCAGCAGCCGCGGUAAUACGGAGGGAGCUAGCGUUGUUCGGAAUUACUGGGCGUAAAGCGCACUAGGCGGCGAUUUAAGUCAGAGGUGAAAGCCCGGGGCUCAACCCCGGAACUGCCUUUGAGACUGGAUUGUUGAAUCCUGGAGAGGUGAGUGGAAUUCCGAGUGUAGAGGUGAAAUUCGUAGAUAUUCGGAAGAACACCGUGGCGAAGGCGGCUCACUGGACAGGUAUUGACGCUGAGGUGCGAAAGCGUGGGGAGCAAACAGGAUUAAUACCCUGGUAGUCCACGCCGUAAACGAUGAUAACUAGCUGCCGGGGCACAUGGUGUUUCGGUGGCGCACUAACGCAUUAAGUUAUCCGCCUGGGGAGUACGGUCGCAAGAUUAAAACUCAAAGGAAUUGACGGGGGCUGCACAAGCGGUGGAGCAUGUGGUUUAAUUCGAAGCAACGCGCAGAACCUUACCAACGUUUGACAUCCCAUCGCGGAUCGUGGAGACACUUUCCUUCAGUUCGGCUGGAUAGGUGACAGGUGCUGCAUGGCUGUCGUCGCUCGUGUCGUGAGAUGUUGGGUUAAGUCCCGCAACGAGCGCAACCCUCGCCUUUAGUUGCCAGCAUUUGUUGGGUACUCUAAAGGAACCGCCGGUGAUAAGCCGGAGGAAGGUGGGGAUGACGUCAAGUCCUCAUGGCCUUACGCGUUGGGCUACACACGUGCUACAAUGGCGACUACAGUGGGCAGCGACCUCGCGAGGGGAAGCAAUCUCCAAAAGUCGUCUCAGUUCGGAUUGUUCUCUGCAACUCGAGAGCAUGAAGGCGGAAUCGCUAGUAUCGCGGAUCAGCAUGCCGCGGUGAAUACGUUCCCAGGCCUUGUACACACCGCCCGUCACACCAUGGGAUUGGAUUCACUCGAAGGCGUUGAGCUAACCCGCAAGGGAGGCAGGCGACCACAGUGGGUUUAGCGACUGGGUGAAGUCGUAACAAGGUAGCCGUAGGGGAACCUGCGGCUG